GAUGAACGCUAGCUACAGGCUUAACACAUGCAAGUCGAGGGGCAGCGGUAUCGAAAGCUUGCUUUCGGUAGCCGGCGACCGGCGCACGGGUGAGUAACGCGUAUCGAACCUGCCUCAUACUCGGGAAUAGCCUUGCGAAAGUAAGAUUAAUGCCCGGUGUUUUCAGAGUCCCGCAUGAGGCUUUGAACAAAGAUUUAUCGGUAUGGGAUGGCGAUGCGUCCCAUUAGCUUGUUGGCGGGGUAACGGCCCACCAAGGCAUCGAUGGGUAGGGGUUCUGAGAGGAAGGUCCCCCACAUUGGAACUGAGACACGGUCCAAACUCCUACGGGAGGCAGCAGUGAGGAAUAUUGGUCAAUGGGCGGAAGCCUGAACCAGCCAAGUAGCGUGCAGGAAGACGGCCCUCCGGGUUGUAAACUGCUUUUAGUUGGGAAUAAAACGGGGCUCGUGAGCCCCCUUGCAUGUACCAUCAGAAAAAGGACCGGCUAAUUCCGUG
RNAcentral lists this ribosomal RNA (492 nucleotides) under uncultured bacterium. RNAcentral describes it as "partial 16S ribosomal RNA". It matches the Rfam family "Bacterial small subunit ribosomal RNA", at positions 28 to 507 of the family's 1533-position model. The record is from RNAcentral.